GAUGAACGCUGGCGGCGUGCCUAAUACAUGCAAGUCGAGCGAACGGACGAGAAGCUUGCUUCUCUGAUGUUAGCGGCGGACGGGUGAGUAACACGUGGAUAACCUACCUAUAAGACUGGGAUAACUUCGGGAAACCGGAGCUAAUACCGGAUAAUAUUUUGAACCGCAUGGUUCAAAAGUGAAAGACGGUCUUGCUGUCACUUAUAGAUGGAUCCGCGCUGCAUUAGCUAGUUGGUAAGGUAACGGCUUACCAAGGCAACGAUGCAUAGCCGACCUGAGAGGGGGGGGGGCACCAGGGGAAUGAGCAACGGGACAAGCCUCCGAGGGGAGGGAAAAGAAGGGAUUCUCCCGAAAGGGGAGAAGGCCGGACGGCGAAGGGCGGGGGGAGGAAUAAAGGUCUUGGGAUGGUAAAACUUUUUGAUGGGGAAAAAAAAAAGGGGAAAGUACAUGUACACUUCUGGAGGGUCAAAAAUAAAAAGCCCAGGCAAAACUCGGGC
This 497-nucleotide ribosomal RNA is filed under the name uncultured bacterium. RNAcentral describes it as "partial 16S ribosomal RNA". It matches the Rfam family "Bacterial small subunit ribosomal RNA", at positions 28 to 508 of the family's 1533-position model. The record is from RNAcentral.